UUUUGUUCACUGUGAUAUGAGGGAACCAUAUAUUGAGGAUAAUAUUUUAAAUAAACGAGUGAUCAGAAGAAAGGUUGCCAUGUUUUAGGCGACUGGUCUGUUGACGGUAUGGUUGAAGUUUAAGCAAGUAAUUCCCUCACAUAAGCAGAGAAUGAACACAACCGAGGGUACAUUUUCCGACUGAAGAAAGCAAUCCGAUGUCCCUGCUGAGAAAGCACAGCUCCUAUGGCGACGCUAGAUGCAUCAGUGGUAACCUCAAAUGGCGUGGAAAAAUCUGCAAGACCAUAAAUGGAAGGAUUGCUAUUGGACUGGAGAUUAACAGUGGGGUUUACAUGUGUUGGGAGUUAGGAAAAUUGAGCUUGAAACCAAGUGGAGCAAAGCAGAGCUUAUGCUGGAGUUGAGGCAUGAUAUCACCUGACCAAAUCAGCCCUCUCAGAAAUGGAGUCUAAUUUUUCUAACAACCACACUAGUAAUAAGGCGUGUUCGUGAGCUAAGUUGUAAUGGUGAUAAGUUUCAGUCAUGUGUUUUCCAUCCAAAGUAUUCUUCAUUGUUGGUCAUUGACGCAUCCUUUUUUAUAAUUCCUUUCCUUUUUUUAGAAAUUAGUUAGAGUUGGUACUCUAAUAGUUACUAGUUGAGUUCUAUAAAUAGAACUAAUAGGUACACAUUUCAUCAUCUUUUAAUCAAUAAUUCAAUAUGAAUACUCAAGGUUUUUCCUUCAUAUCAAGCUCUCAAGCUUAUUUCUCUUAUGAGAUUCAUCAUCAACUCUUUGAUCCUGUGAUUUCUAACAUGGUAUCAGAGCGAUACUGUGAUUACGCUUCCGCGGAUGAAAGUGAUGAAGAUUCAACUUCUGUUGACGUGUCUGAUUCAGUUUCUGUCACCAUUGAUCAAGAUUCUGAUUUUGCAACCAUAGAGAAAAGGAAUUCUGAAUUCUUUUUCGGAUGUUUCAGUCAAGAUUCAAAAUUUGAAAUGGUGCAGAUAAUUCUUAUUGAGACAGUCAAGCCUUCAAUUAAAGGAAGAUCCAUCAAAAUUGGAGAAAUGGAUUGCUUCCUUUUGGUCUCUGAAUCUGAACCAGUAGCAAACAGAAAAAGCAAGAAUCUAUUUUUGAAGAUGAAGAACUUUAUUUCUUACCGUGAAGAAAGUUUCAGUGAACAAGAUAAAGAGUUUCAUCCAUCUCUGCAUCAAGAAUCACCAUUCCAAGAAUUUAUGGAGGAGGAUUGUGUUUCAGAGAUAAAGAAGAAAUCAACUUCUAACUUCCCUUAUUUCCUAUCACAGCAAGAUUCAUUUCUUGAAUCUAGAAUCAUGGAGUCUCAAUAUGAUAUCGUUUUUGGUAAGAAGAUUCUACGAUUAAGAUUCAGGAAAUCACCAUUUCAAGAACCACUGCGCCCAUAUUCCUCACUCCAAAUCUGGUUCAUUUUUCAUCUUCAAAGCUUGAGAAAUUGGUCUCAGCAACAAGCACACUGAGGCACGUCAAUUUCUUCUUCGAUCUAUGUGGUGUCCACAUCGAAGUCUUUGAUCCCGGUGGAAUUUACACGAGCAUCUUCAAUCUCCAUCUAAAUUUGAAAUUGCGGUAUUUCGUUUUCCCAUUUUCUGUAAUUUUCUUGUCGAUUUCAUUUCCACAUUUCUGCAUCACCGUCUUUGAUCCCGGUGGAAACUUCACCUUCAUUAUCUUCUUCAUGGUGCACUGUCUCUCCACGUUGUGUAUCAACCCCAUCAUAUUAUGUGUUCUGGUCAACACCGUGUCUUUCUCAGUAAUCGAUUUAUCAUGAAGAGAAAACAAUGGCCAAAAAUUUUCAGGUCACUAUCUUUUGUUGAACCCUGGUUAUCCAAUUACAUCUUCAAGGUUCAGGUCAUCAGUUUCACUAUGGUAAUAUGAAUUUUGCUUUGAAUUGCCAAGAAAUUAAGUCACAUGAUGAUGCUUCCAGUUUCUGAUUUCACAAAUAUGGAAAUGUGCAGUUUGGUUAUUGAAAGAUGGUGACUUAAUUUACACCCUGGUUUAUGCAUAGUUAUGGAAAUUAGACAUUAAUUCUUGAUUUUUGGUGGAAUUUGAGGUUGCAAGUAGGUUGUCAUUGUGAGUAGCUGGUAAUUGUGGUUUGAUUUAAUCUCCCAAUAUUUUCGAUUAAGUGGUUUCUGCAAGUUUCUAAAUGGUAUUGGUAGUUUCUGCAAGUUUUGAUUUAAUCUCCCAGUCUGGUACACAGAAGCACUAUGCCUUCAACAUUAUAAGCUUUCAAGUAUUUGAUGGAUUGGAGAUGAAGGUUUCAUUUAGAGACUAGCAUAUUGAGGUCCAAUCUAAUGUUGAUUCAAGAACUUGCAUGUUGUCCUAUUUGGAAUCAAUUCAUUAAGGCUUGGAAGCAAUAUGCACCAGAAGCAAUGUUUAGCCUUAAUGGCUUCCUUUGUUUUUUUGGAAGGUGGUUCCAAAUUUCUCAAUGGGAGAGAGAUCAUCGAACUAUGGGACAAAAUUUGCUCCAAUAUCAGAGCAAGUCAAAUUGCAGUCGAAGCUUUGGUGUGAUAGAGCAAAACUACCUAGAAGAAGCUAUUUUAUUUCAACAUUAUUGACUUAACUCUAUUAACCUCCAUGAUCCUAUCAUUACCUACCCCUUCAAGAUCAACCUUGUCCUCAAGGUUGUAAAUAUAACUCAUAGAAGUAUGUUUCCCCUGGUCCCAAUGUUUGAACUGGCAUGUUUGUACCGUUGUGGUAUCCAAAAGUAUGCCUAGGUCCCAUUGUUGCUUGUUUCCAAUUCUCACAGAACAUGUUGAAAUGAGUUGUUGCUGAAGAAAUAAUGGUUGCUGCAUAAUAUUGACACAAUCGUGAUAAUUGGCACAAAAAUAAACCACUCUAAGAAUUGUAGAGCAAAUUUGUUGCAACUCCUCCCCUGCACUUCCCCUUUGUUUCAGUACUAUGGCCAAACUAGUAACAAGGUUCCAUAAUGUAGCAAUGCCCUGAGAGUAAUUUCUAAUAAUCAUGAGGUAACAAAGAUCCAUGUGAUUCAACACAUCACAUACCUUGUUGUGUAACUUGUGCAAGAUAAGCAAAUAGACUUUGGCUUCCAAACUUAGUUUUAUUGCUGCAUUUCACCAGAUUGCAAAAUGGCUCCAGGUUGCGUUAAGGCAUACAAGGACUGCAAUUAAACUUGCACAGGGUCAGUUUAGAGAAAUACUAUUCAGUUCUGAUGUGAAGCGUCAGUUUAGAGAAUUACUAUUCAGUUGUGAUGUGAAGCUUGCAGACUUUCCUGGGUCUUGGUAUCUCCUGUUUCUUUAUAUGAAGCAAGUUGACAAGGUAGUGAAAUUUCUAAUUUGGAAGAACAAACAGUUUCAAUUGUAAUAAGGUGUGUUCGUGAGCUAAGUUGUAAUGGUGAUAAGUUUCAGUCACGUGUUUUUCAUCCAACGUAUUCUUCAUUGUUGGUCAUUGGCACAUCCUUUUUUAUAAUUCCUUUCCUUUUUUUCUUGUCUCUGCAUCCUUAGUUUGUUGUUCUAGAUUUCCAUAGGAGGGCAUGGUUAAAACGAUACCAAUUGGGUCAGCUUACCCAAAUAUAAUUGUCUUCAUUGAUAGGAAAAAAUAAUCAGUAUUUUGUGUUUUACAUAUCAAUCUUCUGCAGAUCAUUAGAAAGGCUUGUGGCCAGUCACUAAAUGUUUCAUUGAACCUUGAAGUCAAAUAGUUUUACGAAUCGCCUACCCAAUUGUGUUGUUUAGUUAACUUCUUAUUUCAGUUGCUUUCAUCUCCCAUGUCAUAAGCUUUAGGUUGUUUGAAGUUUGAGGAAAGUUGUAUGAGCUUCUUAUCAAUUGCAGUCCUCCAGAAAUCAUGUCGAAGUUGGCAGUGAUAUGCUUUUUUGGAGCCUGCUGCACAUAUCUGAAGGGAAACAUAAUCUAAAAUAUGAAGAGCAGACGAACAUUCUUAAGGGAAACUUAUUCUUGCAGCCUUCUUUUUUAACACAAUAAGGCAGUGUUAUGCUUAUAGAUACAUGUUUUUCUAGGGAAAUUUAAGGGAUCUAAAUUGUUGUAUUGUGAUUUGCAUGGAUUGUAUAAAACAUACUUGCUAUGUAAAUUUUAGAUUCAAUAAUUAGAUGAGUUCACUAGCAUUGUUUGUCAAACAAAAAGUUCAUAAAUGAAUAUUUUCUUGAAAGACUA
Molecule: long non-coding RNA, 4122 nt
Organism: Trifolium pratense (red clover)
Lineage: Eukaryota; Viridiplantae; Streptophyta; Magnoliopsida; Fabales; Fabaceae
Exons: 5
Source: RefSeq, a predicted model, not a curated record